Non-coding RNA from Lophiostoma macrostomum CBS 122681, 98 nucleotides. The record is from the annotation of a GenBank genome assembly. NCBI's taxonomy places the organism in Eukaryota, Fungi, Ascomycota, Dothideomycetes, Pleosporales, Lophiostomataceae.
AGCUGAAUGGCGCAGCGGAAGCGCGCCGGGCUCAUAUUCUCUCUAUUAAUAGAGAGGUGGUGACCCGGAGGACAGCGGAUCGAAACCGCUUUCAGCUA